RNAcentral lists this ribosomal RNA (598 nucleotides) under uncultured bacterium. Its description in RNAcentral is "bacterial SSU rRNA". It matches the Rfam family "Bacterial small subunit ribosomal RNA", at positions 112 to 704 of the family's 1533-position model. The record is from RNAcentral.
AAUGCUUAGGAAUCUGCCUAUUAGUGGGGGACAACAUUCCGAAAGGAAUGCUAAUACCGCAUACGCCCUACGGGGGAAAGCAGGGGAUCUUCGGACCUUGCGCUAAUAGAUGAGCCUAAGUCAGAUUAGCUAGUUGGUGGGGUAAAGGCCUACCAAGGCGACGAUCUGUAGCGGGUCUGAGAGGAUGAUCCGCCACACUGGGACUGAGACACGGCCCAGACUCCUACGGGAGGCAGCAGUGGGGAAUAUUGGACAAUGGGCGCAAGCCUGAUCCAGCCAUGCCGCGUGUGUGAAGAAGGCCUUUUGGUUGUAAAGCACUUUAAGCGAGGAGGAGGCUACUUGGAUUAAUACUCUAGGAUAGUGGACGUUACUCGCAGAAUAAGCACCGGCUAACUCUGUGCCAGCAGCCGCGGUAAUACAGAGGGUGCGAGCGUUAAUCGGAUUUACUGGGCGUAAAGCGUGCGUAGGCGGCUUUUUAAGUCGGAUGUGAAAUCCCUGAGCUUAACUUAGGAAUUGCAUUCGAUACUGGGAAGCUAGAGUAUGGGAGAAGAUGGGUAGAAUUCCAGGUGUAGCGGUGAAAUGCGUAGAGAUCUGGAGG